CUCUUUCCAAUAUUACAACAGUAGGAAAAUAGAUUAGAUUGUCAAGUCACAUAUCAAAACUGAUCAUAUCAUAGCUCUUGUGGUAUCCCAAGUCGUGCAAGUACAGAACAGUCAGCCAUGAGUCGUGAGUUAAGUCGGGAGGCAGAAGCUCGAUUGAACGAAAAAAGAAAACAAAAAACUGAGACGAAGAUGCAGGUGGUGGUGUUGCCA
This 210-nucleotide long non-coding RNA is filed under the name Musa acuminata (dwarf banana). RNAcentral describes it as "long non-coding RNA (MACU_LNC002744)". Lineage: Eukaryota; Viridiplantae; Streptophyta; Magnoliopsida; Zingiberales; Musaceae. The record is from RNAcentral.